This is a long non-coding RNA of Hemicordylus capensis (graceful crag lizard), 12710 nucleotides long. RefSeq lists it as uncharacterized. The record is from RefSeq and is a predicted model, not a curated record. NCBI's taxonomy places the organism in Eukaryota, Metazoa, Chordata, Lepidosauria, Squamata, Cordylidae. The transcript has 6 exons.
GCCGACCGGAUGGUUUGUGUGUCUGUCCGCCCGCCCGCCCGCCUUUCCUCCCUCCCUACGGGUCGGUGGCCGGGAUGGGAUCGCGUAGGUCCUCCCAGCGCCCUGCGGCCGCCAAGCGGAAAGCGGGGCCCGCCGCUGGAGGGGCUGAGGGGAGGCGGGAGGGGGCGCGGCGCGCGCGCCCCCCCCCAAAGGAGAGCUUCAACGGUCCGCGCUGGCUGCCGCCAUCUUGGACAGGCCCACUGCGCCUGCGCCCUGCUCCGCCCCCAAGGACUUGACUGUCUGCUGGCUUCCCUUCUGCAGGCCUUUCUACGACCAGCUGUCCAGCUUCGGCCAACAGCAAGCCUCCUACAACCGGCAGCAGGGCUAUGGCCAGCAACAAGAAAUGUACAACCAGAAGUAAAACUUUGACCAGCAGCAGCAAGCGCCCUAGGGCCUGAACCAGCCGUCCUACCCGGCCCAGCAGAAGGAGAAUUACAGGCACAGCGUGCAAGAUAGGGGCUAGACAACCGCCGUGACAAGGGGCGAUACGGGGAAGAUAACCGAGGGUACGGUGCGCCACGCAGAGGUGGGAGCAGGUUCAAUUCUGACGACAGAAGUCUCAUGUCCGGCAUAAGAUUUCUUAAAGGAGCACUGCUCAUUGGGUGCUGCAGGCCUGACGGUCGGGACAAUCAAAGCAUGAGAACACACUGAAAGUGGAGAGUCUUAGGAACAGAGGAAGCUGCUAUAUAUAGAGUCAGACCCUUGGUCCAUCCAGCUCAGUAUUGUCUACACAGACUGGCAGCGGCUUCUCCGAAGUUGACAUGAUGAUCUAUUGACUCCUUGGAAGGAUGUGAUUGUGCACAAGAAAGGCAUACCUCCUGAUGACCUACAGAGACCAAGUUCUGCAUGCACUAUCCUGCCACUGAAAUGAGCGGAACGUUCUGCUUAUGACACUGGACACAGGCCAGCUGUGAAUCACCCUCUCCCACAAAACCAAGGAACGGAGGCACAUGGAAACUCGUGAGAACGUGGGCUGUCCUGCUCUUCCGUGAGCCACUCUGCUUUCCUGCAUCAGUUCUCGAAGGAGACGGGGGCCCAGCUCCACACAAAGUGCAAAUUGCAGCCACCACCCCAACGCCUCGGAGGCUGUUAGCUUGGGAGAGGCUUCUGACUGGUGUGUCUGACCGGUCACUGUGAGCCACAUAUUUACCUGACUCAAGGUUUGUUUGGUGUGUGAACCUGGCUUUUUCAUAUUUAUUUCGUUUAUUUAUGAAAAUGUGCUUAUAUACUGCCUCCUCCAAGGACUCUAGGCGGUGAACAACAGCAGUACCAAUAACUAUUAAUGAAAAUGAUAAUAAUUAAAGGUGGGCCUUCAGAAGGACCUUAAAAGCAGCCAGGCAGGGAGCUAAUAUUAUAAUAUAAUAAUAAUAAAAAAUCUGAAGUCUUAGCCUCUCCAAAAGGCUGGCCCGCUUGCUGCCCUGAGGAGGCAUGGCGGGAUUCAUGUUGCUGGCUGCAGACAGCCUCCUCUUGCACAGCUGGUGGCGGAUCUGGGUGGGACAGAAGAAAGGGAAAACAGCCGUGAGUUGAUACUAAACCUUCAGAAUCCAGUGCUAUAUUACUAAAAUAAUUUAUUAUUAAAUUAUAAUAAUAAAAAAUCUGUGGCCUUACCCUUGCCAAGGGUAUGGCCGGCGUGCUGGCUGGACGAGGCAUGGCCACCAUCAUGCUGCUGGCAGUUGAUAUUUUCAGCUGGGAGAGCUGGUGGCUCAUCUGGGUGGGACAGAAGCAAGGGAAAACAGCCGUGAGGUGAUAGUGAGCCUUUGGAAUCCAGUAAUAAAUAAUAAUCUGAGGUCUUAGCCUCUCCAAAAGGCUGGCCCGCUUGCUGCCCUGAGGAGGCAUGGCAGGAUUCAUGUUGCUGGCUGCAGACAGCCUCCUCUUGCACAGCUGGUGGCGGAUCUGGGUGGGACAGAAGAAAGGGAAAACAGCUGUGAGUUGAUACUGAUCGUGGAGCCAAUGCUAAUUCCAGUCAGCUUCAACUGACCCAAUGCUAAUUUCGUGGUUUAUUGUUAAGGGGUUUUUUAAAUGAUACUUUUUUGAAGUUUUCUCAUGAAACACUGUAUGUUUCAUGACCAUCCUGCCACUGAAAUGAGCUGGAUGUACUGCUCUCUCUUUUUUGACACUGGGAUGUCCUCAGGGAAAAUCAAAAUACUUUUCCUACAGUUUUUUGGAUAAUAAUUCUGAUGAUCAGAAUACCCAAUUAUCAACAGAUAGCUGAUCUGCUACUACCACGCAUAUCUCUAUGCCACGUCUCAGCAAAGUCCUCAAAGUGUUUGACAUAAACAAAUCACUCUAAUAAACAAAUAAGAUGGUCCCCUCUCCCAAAAGGGCUCUCAAUCUAAGAGAGAUGCUCGGUAGAAACCAGCAAGAGCCACUGGUGGGAUUCUGUGCUGGGGCUGAAUCGGGCCAGUUCCCUGCUAAGAAGACUGAUCUGUGGUCUUACCUCGUCCAAAUCUCCUGUGGGUGGCUGAAUUGGAGCGGAUGGUCGUGCAGAAAUCAUACCCGAAAUGACCUGUUGUUGUGAGAUGUGGGUAGGACAGAAGCAAGGGAAGACAGGCUUAAGAUGAGACGUCAUGGCACCAAUAACUAUUAAUGAACAUAAUAAUAUUUAAAGGGCAAACGCCUGGUGAAACAGGUGGGCCUCCAGAAGGGGCUUAAAAGGAGCCAGGGAGGGGGCUAAUAUAAUAAUAUAAUAAUAAUAAAUCUGAGGCUGCACCUGCUUGCUGUCCAGAGGAGGCGUAGCGGGAUUCAUACUGCUGCCAGCAGAGAGUCUCCUCUUGGAUAUUGGAUGCUGCCUUGGAUAUGAUCCAUUAGGCAAGGGGAGACAAAGGGAUUGUCUUCAGAACCAGCCACUGAUGGUGUCUGCACUCAGGGUGGGAGAGGGCCAGGGAGGCUGUGGUGGCGGGAGAUUCUGCAAUUCCGUUCUGGACUCUCUCCGUACAACACACUCACGCGCUCUCUCUCUACCCCCCAUUCCCCAACUCUGUCUCAGAGGGGUACAAUCCAUUAGUCAAGGGGAUUGUCUUCAGAACCAGCCACUGGGGCUGGCUGUGCAAAGUUUUUACCCGACGCCAUCUUCACUUCCUUUUUUUGGUUUGAGAUCUGGGUGGGACAGAAGCAAGGGAAGGCAGUCCCACUGCCGGAAGUACUCAUGCUCUGUGCUCAGUGUUCUCCCUCGCCCGGUGGCGGAUCUUCAGGCGGAUCUGCAGAGUCCGCCCCCGCACUAGUGCUGUGCUCUCGCCAACCAGAGCUUCCUCCUGCACUGAUUUGGGAAGGAGAAUUUGGCUGCUGCCCCUUCCCUAGGUGACGGUGGGAGCUGAGAGGGAGACUGUGGCUUGCCUUUCAUUUCCUUCCGGAAGCACUCACAGGAUUCCUCACAGGAAUCGCGGCCGCUGGUUCCCUCUCCCCAAAGGGCUCAUCCUUAAAGAGAAAGGCUAGGUAGAAACCAGCAAGAGCCUGGGAUGCAGGAGGAGCUCGCCGUGGACCUGACUCUAAACUGAGUGGGGGUGACUCCCCCACCCCAAACUACCUUCAGAAAAGCUCCCCAUGGGGUGGUUUCUUGCUUUUGUGUUUUCUUUCUCCUAUGCCUACAUCUUCAACUGACCCAAUGCUAGUUUAAUGCUUUUUAAAGGGUUUUUUUUUAAAGAUGGAAGACGGCCCGAGGGAAUGGUUGGACGGGGAAGUUGCCAGCCGCCAUGCAAGCCGCGGGACGCCCUUCCGUCUCCACCAUAGACUGUCCCUAGCAGGGCAACCAGGGAGCAGAGAGACGGAGAGAGCAACAGAGAAGAGGGCGGAAACAGGACUAUCUGGGGGGGGGGAGCUGGUUCCUGGGAGUGCGGGCGAGCCGGACCCGAUCCAAGCUGUUACUGGACCCAAUCCAAGCUGUUACUGGACCUGAUCCUCCCUGGAGACAUGGUGGGAAUCCCCCUUGGUUUUCCUUGGCAGGUGGCUUCAGCGGGGGGAUUUGGAGGCUGGCAGGACAUAGUUGUGGCUCUUUGGAAAGGCUUUGUUGCUUUUUUGUGGGUGCUGGUGGGGGAUCUCCUGCUCUGUCUCCCACAGAUCAGUGGUAACUGUGAACUCUGCUCUCAGAUGAUGCAGACGGCUGGCGUCUUCAUGUCUGAAGUCGGGAGCUGGGUCCUGCACAAUCCAAAGAGCUAUCCCAGCAUGCAUUGUGUUGCCAGUAGAUUGGGGACCCUCGUGACAGAGCCAGCUGACCCCUGAUUGGCCCAGGAGAGAGGGCAUGCAGUGUGUGGACUUCCCAGAGGUAUCUGGUGGGACACUGUGGGAAACAGGAUGCUGGACUAGAUGGGCCUACUUGGGCUCCCCAUUCCCCCUGAAAGGAAAAUAACCUGGCAGCAACCCCGUGAAUUAACACUGGCCGAAUGGAUGGAUACAGCAGUCAGGCCCAUACCAACUGACUUUUUUAGAGCCUGGUUCUCUUUAAGGACAGUUGUCUUUCAUAUGCAGAAGGUACCGGGUUCAAAUCCUGACAGCAUCUCAGGUCGGGCUGGGAGAGACUCAUGCCUGAAAUUCAGGAGAGCAGCUGCCAGCCAGUGCCGACAAUACUGAGCUAGAUGGACCAAGCGUCUGACUCAGUAUAAGGCCAGUUCCAAUACUCUCUAAGGUUUCAGGCAGGAGUCUUUCUCAGCCCUAUCUAGAGAUGCUGCCAGGGAGGGAACUUGGAACCCUCUGCAUGCAAAGCAGAGGCUCCUCCACUGAAUUAUGGCCACCAUCCCAUGGCACUGAUAAGCUAGUUAAGGAUAGCACCAAGUGGCUAGUCUCCAUGCCAUCUCCAAGUCAGGUCUGGGUAGGUCCUUUAACAAGUGCAAGAGAAGAACGAAAGCAUCCGCUCUCUUCUCAAGAACAAACCACAGCUCAUCACAACAUACAAAUGAAGGGAAAUACGGUUUGUUCAGCAACUAAUUUGAACAAACCAGAAUAUUAGAGAUGUGCGAAUCGAUUCAAAUUCUUAUCUGGCCGAUUUGAAUGAUUCGAACUUGAAUUGGAUCGCCCCUAAAAAGGGCGAUUCGAUUUGAAUUUAAAUGGAAUCAACCAGAAUCUAAUUUGAAUCAAUUCAACGGCAGUUUAGAGACAUUUUGGCACCUUUAAAAAACCAUUCAGGGACCCUGAUUGGUCAAAGAAAAAGAGUGCCAAAAUAGCUUGAAUUGGUUCACAUUUGAAUCAGAAUCAAAUUUGAAUCGAAUCAACCUGUUUUGGGCCAAUUCGAUUUGAAUUUGAAUCAAAUUGGCCAGCUUCAAUUCAAAUUUCAAUCAAAUCUGAAAAUCUGAUUUGUGCAUAUUCAUACAUAAUAUCAGUCCAGCAUCAAAUUGUGGUUUGAUAUCCCAGUUUGUUUCAAGUACAGGGUGUUUCAAGUACCCAACCCACACCCCAGUUGCCUGAAGACCAGCCUGUUCGGGUCAGAGAUAGUCAUGUGACUUUUCCCUUGAGCAUCCGUUAAAACCUUAAGAUCAAAAUAAGAGUUUCCUCUAGCAGUGUAGAUCCAUGGAGAGAAAGAGAGAAAAUAAAGGACUCCCCGCUUACCAAGAACAACCUCAGCUGAGGUUAAGAGGACGGUGGCCAUGAGCAGGACAACCUGUAUGGCAACCACCGAGGUCUUCAUCUUUGCCGUCUGUGGUGGAGAGGGGGAAGCAUAGAGGCCUCGUUUAAAGUGAGCCCAAGGGCCACGUGCCCCAAACCAAUUCCUUAGUGCCACGGCUGCUGCCGGCUGAGUUUCCUCCUCCUCCUCCAGUAAGACCACGGCUUCUCCAUCUUCCUUUUGUGACGGGACAGAGGGAGGGAGAGAAAAGGAGGGAACAGAUCAGCUUGGCUACUCUUCCCCGCUGGAUGCCUUGUGCGAAGUGGUCAGCUGAGGUCCAGAAUCAGACCCUGGUGUCCUUUCCACCUUUGCCCGGGAGGACAAUGGGAUCCCCUCCCUUCUCUGUCCAGCAGAAGAUGGGAAGGAAGAGUUAGGGUUUGGAGCAGAGAUUUCUCAGAAGGGUUAAGACAGCAUUUGGAUUCUGAGGAUUGCGAGCCAAAACAUCCCGUAAUCUGGAGUCGCAACACCAAAGGCUUUUUGGAGUGCACCAGAUGAGGUAGUAGAAAACUGAUUCUAGAGUUGGCUUCUGGACCUCCCAGAGAGGAGCCUGGAGGUACGUAUCUCUGCCUAAGUGGGAGUGGCUGUGAGUCCAUCCUCUUCCUUUCAGCUGGCUGGUGGGCUCUUUGAAUUGGCUACAGGUUUAAAACCCUGCCUGAUGGACUCUCCUGUCUGCUCCCUCGAUUGCUCAAGCACACUGUAGGCAAAACGCUACCCUCCUCACUUUCUCCAUGCCCCAGGAACACGGCGUGAUUGAAAGGGAACAUCAUGGUCCGUUCCCCACCGUUGGUCUUUGCUGUAGGGGGGAGACAUGCAAAGCCGAGAUAUUGCAGAUAUGAUGGAAACCAGAGAUAGGACGCCUUCUACUCGGCACACGCCUAUGUGGGAUUAGGAAUAUGCUGGCUAGUCGCUAGAGGGAUUUCCUAAGGGAUGGUAGACUAGAAGAGCUCCAAGAUCCAGCCCAACUCUAGGGUUCCAAGGCGAAGGGUAAGCCAUGAGCCAGCCACCUAGCAGAGAGCUGGGACAAAUGGAAACUCCUGCAGUCUCUUUCUGCCAUCUCAAACCACUCUCCAAGAUUCCACUAACGAAAAGAUGGACAUCUUUUUUCACACUCGGUUCCCAGGAUUCAUGCCGAGGGUUGCUGUCUGAGUUCUCCACCCACCACAUUUGCACCAAGCUGGAAGAUGACUGGCCCAAAUGUUCAUCUGAGCCAGCUUUGCGCAGCACUAAUUGGCUAGCACCCAUGCCGCCACCAAACUACUUAUCGAGGAACCAAAUGGUGAGUACCCACCCAGGAUGGAACCCAGCCAGCUCCAGGCAGUAACAAGUGACUAGUGCCCAAUUACACCAAUAAGCAAGUUGAGGACAGUACCAAAUGGCUAGUACCUCUGACAUCUCCAAAUCCACUCUGGGCCGCACCAAUUGGUUACCACUCUUGAUGUCCCCAGGAUACCACCCUACCACUAAUCCCCAAAGAAGUCAGGCAACUGUUUUCAAAAUGCUUAUGUUUUAUUAUUUUUUUAUGAUGCGAAGAAUAAAUGAGCAAUCAAAGUGUACAUGUGGUUAUUAAAAACAAUAAAUAAUAAUAAUUCAAGGCAGCCAUCCGCUUUGAAGCUGUCCAUGACGAUGGAUAUAGCCUAGCGUUCAGCCUUGUAUAACUUCCUCCUCUCCUCCACAAGCUGGUAGCUCCCGGUUGAUCAUUUCUCUUCCCUUCUGGGGGUACAGGAGGCGGAAACAGGACCUGGUUAGUUUUCUAAGAAGGAAUGGAUUCUCUCCCGGACCCAUUUCAGCCUGGGAUCAACACAGAGCCGCUUAUCAUUGUUGGUAAUAAAUCUGCAAAGGAGAAAUGUGCUUUUAGUGCCCAGUCUGGAGGCUGCCGUGGACCAGGGAAAAGAAAACAAGGGGCCCCGGUGGCAUAAAGCCCACACCCCGUCUGCCCACAAGGGAUCCAUCGGCCCUUUGGCAGUGCUCCCGAGAGAGCCAGGACCAUUCACAGCAGAGAGCGUAGAGAAGGACAGCUCUCGCCCAAGACUUUGGGGAUGGACCUUUCCCACCCCUUGUAAACUGGGCCUCUCUUCCCCCUUGACAGCAGGAAGAACGCAACCUCCUUGGGGCAGAGACCUGCCUUGGGCAGACUGACCGCCCCGCCCCCCCCAACAGACUUACACUUCUCAUUGGAGAAGGAGGCUUCAGAAUCUGGUGGCGGGUCUUGUGCUCAAAGCCCUGCAAGAAAAAGGUUCAAGAACAAGCCAGUCACAGGCCUGCCUGCGACCUCGGAGGAGCUGCUGCCAGUCUGGGAAGACAAACCUGAGCGGAAGAAGGCAGCUUCCCAUGUGCCGAGGUUCCGCAGAGGAGUGGUGGGGUGGAGAUAUAGGCACAAGGCUGGCAGGAAGCCCAGCCUCCAUUUUGCCCCCUUGGAGGGAGCAGAGAGAAGGACGGAGGCUCCCCCCCUUGGAAAGUGAGGCUCAGUCCCUGGGAUCUCAUGGAAAGAACUCGGGGAAGAAAUAUUGGCCAACGCCCUGCCAGGGAAUUCCGGGACUGGCUGUCCCCCGGGGCAGACUGUGGAGACCCUUUGUUCCUCCACCUUUGUUCAAGUGGAGAAUGUAAGCUCCUUGGGGCAGGGAUACAUCUUAGGGAGACUUACACAGGAAAACUGGUGUGUCAGUUAUUGUGGCCUCCAGUUCCUGUGGCGCUGGGCCCACAGAUGGAUCUGCAACGAAACAGUCAGCAUCAGGAGCUUUCCCAGACAGCAGGUUCACCGCAGGUUUGCUGCGAGGCUUUACUGCUUGUUCAAGUUUGCCCAAACUAACCGAUGGGAAGAGUGGAUUUUUUAAAUAAACCCCAGAUAUACAUUGGGCUAAGCAGCAGUGCGCAAUGAAAAACCCGAAUCGUGUAUGGAGUGUUCCCAGAAAGCUUGCAGGGGCUUCAUUCUGGGUGACGGCAGGAAGAAUGCAUCCUCCUUGGGCCAGAGACCUUCCUUGGGUGGACUGACCGACCCCCCGCCAACAGACGUACACUUCUCAUUGUUGCCGGUGGCUUCAGACUCUGGUGGCAGAGGGACCACAGCAAUGGGAUAUCCUCCUCACAGUCCUGCAAGAAAAAGGUUCGAGAGCAAGCCAGUCACGGGAGGGUUGGAUCUGUGUUGAGAAAGGAGGGCUGGGCUCAGGUUCGGUCUGAGGGCAGGAGAAGCCUCCGCCCCUGAAGGAGGAGCCCCCUGCGCUCCUGAUUGGCCAGGGUGAGAAGGGCAGCCAAUGGGCAGAGAGCCAGGACCAUUCACAGUAGAGAGCAUGGAGAAGGACAGCACUCGCCCAAGACUUUGGGGAUGGACCUUUCCCACCCCUUGUAAACUGGGCCUCCCUUCCCCUUGAUGGUAGGAAGAAUGCAGAGUAAGAAGCUCUGUAUCUGGAGGUGACAGGGGCGUUUAUACAGGCCUCUGUGUCAAUCUCCCAACCCGCUUCCGCCCCAAGUCCCGCCCACCGCUGGAAGUACUCACGCUUUGCUGCUGGCGCACUGUGUUCUUCCUCACCUGGGCCCGGUGGUGGAUCUGCAGGCGUCUCCGGAAGUUCUGGAUAGCUCCCCGCACCUCUCUGUGGCUGUACUAGCUCGCUUUUCAUAACUGCACGAUGCCACGUCACACGCUUUCUCCUGCUCCAUUGCCCCACCCCUCGUGACCACCUGCUCUCUCGACAUCUUUCUCCUACCCUUACACUUCUCAUGGGAGCAGGCGGCUUCUGUUUCUGAAUCUGGCGGCGGAGCCAUCUCAGCAUGCAUAUCGUCUGAGACUUAUGCGGAGAAACCGCUGGGUUACUUCCCGUGGCCUCCAUUCCCUGUGCCUGCUGAUGGAUCUGCAACGAAAGAUUCAGCAUCAGGAGCUUUCCCAGACAGCAGGUUCACCGCAGGUCUGCUGCGAGGCUUUACUGCUUGUUCAAGUUUGCCCAAACUAACCGAUGGGGAAAGCGGAUUUUUUAAAACCCCAGAUAUAAAUUGGUCUAAGCACCAGUGUGCAAUGAAAAACCCGAAUCGUUCAUAAUGUUCCCGGAUAGCUUGCAGGGGCUUCUUUCUGGAUGACGUGUGAACACACACCUACCCUUCCAAAGUAAAAUGAGCGCCUGGGAACACCCCAGGUCAGUGACGGGAGGCUCAGCUCUGCAUUGCCUGGGAAUGACCACUAUUUCUGGGAAGAAGGGGGGGCACAGGUUGGCCCACAUCUUUCCAAGAGGCCUCCAACUGGGGCAUCCUGGCACUGGAAGCUUUGCUCCCCUUCCUCUCUGUUUCACCUUGCCACAGCUCACCCAUUUAGGCAGUGUCUCCCCAGCCAAAACAGGCAGAUCUAAACCAUCUCUUGCGUCCCUAGCCCCCACAGGCAGUUCCUUCGUCUUGAUUCAGCUUCAGUUUAUUAUCCCUCAUCCAGCCCAUUUCCACCUGCAAGCAGUCAUUUAGGGAAGUUAUGCCAUUUCCUGAUGAGGUCAAUAUGGAGAAAUUGAUCUGGGUGUCAUCAGCAUACUGAUAACACCUGCUGCAUUAACCGGAUCUCCUGAUGAUCUCCCCCAGCCGUUUCAUGUGGGGCAGCUCCGCCCCAAACUCUGCCUAGCCCUCAAUCCCGCACUGAAGACUGAGUGCUAUUUCCUGCUAACUGGGCAAAGACACACCUUUUUUAAAGUGGUAAUUCUCUUUAUUUAGCAGGCGGAGAGCAACUGGCCCUCUCCACCCCCAGCACAGCAUCCCUCCAGUGGAUGUUACUGGGGUCUGUCUUAAGUUUCUUUUUAGAUUUAGAUCCCUUUGGGGACAGGGAACCAUCUGAUUCAUUGAUUGGUUGAUUGAUCGAUUGAUUGAUCUUUGUAAACUGCUUUGGAAACUUUUGCUGAAAAGUGGUAUAGAAAUAUUUGUUGCUGUUGAAGGGCUGGCACCAGAGGCUGGCUGGCUUUGGCGGCCGCCUGCAGGUUGGCCAUUCCACCGGUGCACCUCCCUUCCUUAGAAGCCCCAGAGACCCAGAGUUCAUGAGAGUCUCUGGGACCGGGCUGGUGUAAUUAAUGGCCACAGGCGUAGAUGAUCAGAUAAUCAGGAAAGAGAGUCCACAAUGCUAACGACAGCAGCAUGUGGAAAGAAUGGGUUGAUGGGAAAUCGAAGGAAGCUUGUUGGUGGGAAGAAGGCACGAGGCCUCCCGAGGAAGGAAAGCAGAGUGAUGGCUUGCUGGGGGGCGGUCUUGGUUCUUUCAGGCCAGAUAUGUUGGCGGGGGGGAUGGCAGUUAAGCACCUCUCUCCCGGCACCUUCCUCGCACCCGGUCCAACCCACCAUGGCAUGUGCUUGAACCCCAUGCCAAGCCGAGGGCCUGGGGAGCAGUUUUGUGCGUCUUAGGGAAUGUGCAGUGACCAGUUGGUUGCAAUAUUAAUUCAUUAAUAUUGUUUUAAUGCUCUUCUAAAAUAUUGUUUAAAAAUGUUUAAAUUGUUGUAAUGUUUCAAAAAUUUUUUAGUUUUUAACUGUUUUACUUUCUGUUUUUAUUCUGUUGUAAACCACCCAGAGAUGUAGGUUUGGGGCGGUAUAAAAAUGUGUUAAACAAACAAAUAAAAGAGUCAAGGGAAGUGACUGAAUCCGGAGGGAAAACCUCUAACAGGCCUGCUCAACUUAGUCCCCCCUCACCAGCUGUUUUUGGACUACAACUCCCAUAAUCCCCAGCCACAUUGGCCAACAGCCAGGAGUUAUGGGACUUCUAGGUCCACAUCUGCAGGAGGGCUGAAGUUGAGCAGCCCUGACCCAUAAAGAUGGAGGUUGAACUGCAGCCCUCAAAUCAAGGGGGCAUGCACAGUGGUGCUUUCCCCCCUGGACUUUGGGGCCCAAGUCCAGGGCCUCCACACCCCUUGGGGCCCCCAAGUCGUCUCUAGUCUGUCCAGGGUGGUGUAGUCACCGCUGGCCCACACUGCGCCAGGAGGCCGAGUGUGAUUGUGACCCGUGCUGGAGCCAGAGGGGGGAAUGGGGAAAGAGAUGUGUGGGGUCUCUGUCUCUCAAUUUCUCUCAUACACCCCACCCCCAAUAGAAUGUCUUCGGUGAUGCUCUUUUUGGAGGAGCCGUAUAGAAAUCAAAUCAAUACUAAAGAGUAACUUCACAUAGGGGAUGCACCUCUCUCCCAACACCUUCCUCGCACCUGGUGCAGCCCACUAAGGCAUGUGCUUGUGCCCCAGGCCAAGUUUGAUUUUGGGCCCCCGCCAGCUGAGACGUGCAGAGCCCCGGAUUUCACUUGAGGCCUGCUGGGUACUCAUCCAGUGCAGAUGGGUAGGCCAUGGCAGCCAGUGCAGAGGGGCCGUGAAUGGCUAGCCGGAACUGCUUUGGGGGUCCAGUGGCAGAGAGUUCCCAAGUUGAUGCUGGGGGUAAAAGCGUAGCACUUCUGAGAGGGAAAGAGGCAGCUCUGAAUGUGGAAACCCAGCCUGAGGCCAUUUCUUUCUGGAAAGGAAUGCUGAGGCAGGCAAUUUGUCUUCUCGGGAAUCUCUUGCAGUGCUCACACUUCUAGUCUCCCAUGCAAAUGCAAACCAGGGCAGACCCUGCUUAGCUAAGGGGACAAGUCAUGCUUGCUCCCCAAAGACCAGCUCUCCUCUCCAUUUGCAUGAAGUAUUGGCACAGUUGGUUAAAAUCAUUCAUGUCAUCAAGUGUAAUGCUUUGAAUUGGAGGUGGUUCACAAUUUUGUGUGAUGAGAUGGGGUCUGAGCAUCCUCGUUUAUUAUUCCACACAGAAGUAUGCUGGCUGUCUCAAGGAAAUGUUUUGUUGAGGUUCUUUGAAUUAAGGGAAGAAAUCAAAAUGUGUUUGAUACCAAAGAAGUGCAAUAAUUAACCAUAUGCAUGCGAAACGUAGAAUGGAUUGUAAAAGUUGCAUACUUACCUGAUAUUUUUAAUUCGGUUCUGUAUGUGAUUGAUGUUUUAUUAUAUUCUAGCAACUGUUAACCUCUUGUAGGAUUCCUUUUAUUCUACUAUUUCUAAUUGAUUUGUAAACUGACCAUGGGUCGUAAAUAUCUAAAUUCUCUUAAUUUCAGUUUACAAGGCCCACUGACAACAGUUUUUACUACAGGUAAUAAAAAUUUGUGCAUUUAAAAAAAGAA